Molecule: ribosomal RNA, 500 nt
Filed under: uncultured bacterium
Lineage: Bacteria
Description: partial 16S ribosomal RNA
Rfam family: Bacterial small subunit ribosomal RNA
Source: RNAcentral
AUUGAACGCUGGCGGAAUGCUUUACACAUGCAAGUCGAACGGCAGCACGGACUUCGGUCUGGUGGCGAGUGGCGAACGGGUGAGUAAUGUAUCGGAACGUGCCCAGUCGUGGGGGAUAACGUAGUGAAAAUUACGCUAAUACCGCAUACGAUCUAUGAAUGAAAGCGGGGGAUCGCAAGACCCCGCGCGAUUGGAGCGGCCGAUAUCAGAUUAGGUAGUUGGUGGGGUAAAGGCCCCCCAAGCCAACGAUCUGUAGCUGGUCUGAGAGGACGACCAGCCACACUGGAACUGAGACACGGUCCAGACUCCUACGGGAGGCAGCAGUGGGGAAUUUUGGACAACGGGCGAAAGCCUGAUCCAGCCAUUCCGCGUGCAGGAUGAAGGCCCUCGGGUUGUAAACUGCUUUUGUACAGAACGAAAAGGUUUCUACUAAUACUAGGAGCUCAUGACGGUACUGUAAGAAUAAGCACCGGCUAACUACGUGCCAGCAGCCGCGGUAA